This 583-nucleotide small RNA is filed under the name Pongo abelii (Sumatran orangutan). RNAcentral's name for it is "retained intron". Lineage: Eukaryota; Metazoa; Chordata; Mammalia; Primates; Hominidae. The record is from RNAcentral.
UUAAAGUAUUAUUUAUUUGGGGACCUUUAAUAUGUUGUACUUAUAUUUUAACAGAAUCAUAAUCUGAUGAUAACUUUGCAUUUACUUAUUAUGUAUAGAAAGUUACAUCAUAAAACUCUCAGAAUUCUGUACAUACAGGAUAUGUGUGCACUGAGCCACAAUAUAAAAUGUUUAUCUUACAAAGGUUGCAGUAAGAAAAGUUUGAAAAACACCAGCCUGGUACAUAUUUCAUUAAGGCUUGAAAGAGGAAAGUAAAGCUGUGAAGGUCAGGGGUAAAGCAGGCCUUACAGUCUGUGAGUGCUAGGGCUGGGAUGGUCCCCAGCACAGUCCCCAGGCCUCACCAGGGUUGGGGUUUGUUAACCUGUGUUCCCCACAGCUACCUGGUGGCGCACACUCUAGGGCGCCGGAUGCUGUAUCCAGGCUCUGUGUACCUGCUGCAGAAGGCCCUCAUGCCUGUGCUGCUGCAGGGCCAGGCCCGACUGGUGGAAGAGUGUAACGGGCGCCGGGCAAAGCUGCUGGCCUGUGAUGGCAAUGAGAUUGACACCAUGUUUGUAGACCGGCGGGGGACAGCUGAGCCCCAGGG